UACACAGUGUGCUUUUAUGAUCGGUAACAGAUCUAGAAAAGAGCAUAAUGUGUAGGGAGCGGCGGACGGGUGCGUAACACAUGGGAAUCUGCCCCAAACUGAGGGAUAACUACUCGAAAGAGUAGCUAAUACCGCAUAUGGUCUUCGGAUUAAAGCCUUCGGGCGGUUUGGGAGGAGCCUGUGGCAGAUUAGUUAGUUGGUGAGGUAACGGCUCACCAAGACGAUGAUCUGUAGCUGGUCUGAGAGGAUGAUCAGCCACACUGGAACUGAGACACGGUCCAGACUCCUACGGGAGGCAGCAGUAGGGAAUUUUCCACAAUGGACGAAAGUCUGAUGGAGCAAUACCGCGUGCAGGAUGACAGCCUUCGGGUCGUAAACUGCUUUUAUACGAGAAGAUUAUGACGGUAUCGUAUGAAUAAGCUUCGGCUAACUCCGUGCCAGCAGCCGCGGUCAGACGGAGGAAGCAAGCGUUAUCCGGGGUGACUGGGCGUAAAGAGAUGCGUAGGCGGUAUGUCAAGCGAACAGUGAAAUCUCAAAGCUCAACUUUGAGGCUACUGUUUGAACUGACAUACUAGAGCAUGAUAGGGGAAACUGGAAUUCCUAGUGUAGGAGUGAAAUCCGUAGAUAUUAGGAGGAACACCAAUGGCGAAGGCAGGCUUCUGGAUCAUUGCUGACGCUCAGGCUCGAAAGUGUGGGUAGCGAACGGGAUUAGAUACCCCGGUAGUCCACACCGUAAACGAUGGAUACUAGCUAGUUGGGGGUAUCGACCCCCUCAGCAGCGAAGCUAACGCGUUAAGUAUCCCGCCUGGGGAGUACGGUCGCAAGAUUAAAACUCAAAGGAAUAGGCGGGGACCCGCACAAGCGGUGGAGCGUGUUCUUUAAUUGG
RNAcentral lists this ribosomal RNA (886 nucleotides) under uncultured bacterium. RNAcentral's name for it is "bacterial SSU rRNA". It matches the Rfam family "Bacterial small subunit ribosomal RNA", at positions 56 to 953 of the family's 1533-position model. The record is from RNAcentral.